UUACAAACUAAAGGUCAACACCAAUCAUAUGGUAUUUGAAAACUAAGAACAAAUAAAAUAGAAAAACAGUGACAUUCAGUUAUAUGGAAAUAUAGUCAAGUCAAUAAUUUGAAGUGGAUUAUUAACAAUAACACAGUUUUCUUUACCUUCCUGAUGUUCCAACCCUUUAUAAGAAGUCAAAAUUGACUAUGAACUAUCAUUAAGAACAUACUAAAGAAGAAGUACUGGCUUUUAAUGUUUAACAUUUUCUAGCAUAUUUGUUUGUUUUCAAGUUAACGCUGCAUAUUUAAAGAUUAUAAUGGGAAGCCAGAACAUAAUUCUUUUUCGAACUGCUAAAUAAUAAGUAUCUUUUUUUCCCUUGUUGAAACUCAAUUUCUAGCCAAUGAUUGAGUCUAUUUUUCACUGAUCUCAGCAACCUUAAGUAGAAAAUCUAGUGUGACCUAAAAGCUCUAAAACUUAUCAAAGGUGGAGCCCAUGGAAAUAAAAGAAAAAUAUAUUCGCAAAAUGCAUUUCAAAAAAGAACACUUUUUUUUUUUGCUGGGUGCAGUGGCUCACACCUGUAAUCCCAGCACUUUGGGAGGCCGAGGUGGGCGGAUCACCUGAAGUCAGGAGUUCGAAACUAGCCUGGCCAACAUCAUGAAACCCUGUCUGUACUAAAAAUACAAAAAUUAGCCGGGUGUGGUGGCAGGCUUCUGUAAUCCCAGCUACUUGGGAGGCUGAGGCAGGAGAAUCGCUUGAACCCAGGAGGCGGAGGUUGCAGUGAGCCAAGAUCAUGUCAUUGCACUCUAGUCUGGGUGACAAGAGCAAAACCCUGUCUCAAAAAAAAAACAAAAACAAAAACAAAACAAAACAGAACAAAACGUAUUUAACCCCGUAAUGAAAAUAAUGGAAAUUCUCAGCUAAUUGGCACUUUAUGAACACUAGGAAAAAUUCACUUACGUUAUUUUAAAACCUAUACACUUAGUGAUAAAAAGGAUGUACGAGUUAAUUGAGAGAGUCUAGUGUUGUACAGAGGGAAAAAGACUGGUGGAAAGCACAUCAGAAGAAUAAGGAUAGAACUUUUAAAGAUAUAAAGAUUUUUUAUGUAUAAAACCCAUUAAAAAUGGUAAGAAAUAACAGCCAUUUCUAAAAUGCCCUUUAACCAGUUAACAAUCUGUUUGCACAGCCUUGUAGCUUAUGUAAAUAUGCAUGCUCACUUUCCUGCUUGGAUGUGUCAGAAGUUAGGGAGGGAUAGGAGCCCUGGGUAGAACCAUAUGGAUUCAAAAACACAGGGAGGGGCUCCAUUUUAAUAUUAUGGCUCAGAAAUAGUCCUAGGAAGCUGGGACCAGCUGUGCAAAACUGGUCAUAGAACAGCAGUUGCCCCUAAAUGAUUUGAAUUCUUUAGUACUACAGUUCUAAUUACUCCUGAAACUAGUAUGGAAUUUGGGAGUGGUGAUUUUGUCAUUCUUCAAAUUGCUUUUCCUAUUCUUUGAUAGCAUGCAGAAUUGACAACAGUUUUCUUCUAGAGAACCCAAUCUUGCAAACAUUAAAUAAAGACAGUAAUUAUUCUGCAUUCACAAUUAGUGACUUUGAGGCCUUAGAAAGAGCACCUCAUGACAAAGAUACUCGGUGAAUGUCGUCAACUGACUUCCUGCGUGGCUGUCGGACUGAUUUUUUCAAAUUCUAAGAAAGAGAAUGAGAGAUUCAGAUGAUUCACCUCCCCAAAAGAUGUCCCCAGGGCUUUUUCCACCUCUCCAUCUUGAUUUGAGAUCUUCAAAAUCACUUCACCUUCAGAUUAUUAUCCCAUUUCUCUCACUGGCACUAGCUCCAACUCUCUCAGGCAAGAAAGUUUGCUCAUGUGUCAUGAUUAUUUGGUUGGGUCACUUAUUUAGUGGCCAUUUUCCAUUUACUUCAAGUAUCAGAAGCAAAACCAAGUCACAUGGCUCUUCGAGGGAGUACAUUUUGUGUUUGUUCCCUCUCUUAAAUCCCCAUUUCACCAUCAGCAUAGUUCCCACUUAUUGGUACAGUGUGGCCACAGGAUUUAGGUGAGCACCAUUCAACAACAGUUGCACAGGUACCAUUCAGGCCAAGAACAAUGGCUCUGAGACAGCUCUGCUGAUUAUUGGCUGGGCUUCCUUAAGCAAAUGACUAAAUCUCUGUGCUUUUGUUUCCUCAUUUGUAAAAUGAGAAUAAGAAUAAUACCUACCUCACAGCAUUUUUAGAAAGAUUAAAUGGUUUAAUUGUUAUGCCUUCCUUUUAGGGAUGUUGUGAAGAUAAUGAGAUGGUGUGUGUAAAAUAUUUAGUACAGUUUGAAGGAACUCAAUAAAUAGUAGGUAUCCAUAUCAUGAUUAUGAGGUAAAGAGAAAACAUCGCCAUUGUUGAGAGUAGGAUUCAAGGGUGAGUGCAGCUGCUCCAACAGCACCCAUGGCUCUGGUUUUAUUUUCAGCCCUGAAUCUUUUUUUCUUUUUUAAUUAUUAUUUUUUUAAAAACAGAGAGAAAGAGAGACAGGGUCUCACCAUGUUGCCCAGGUUGGUCUUGAGAUCCUGGACUCAAGCGAUCCUCCCACUUCCGCCUCCCAAAGUGCUAGGAUUACAGGUAUGAGCCACCAUGCCUGGCCCCAGCCCUGAAUCUUGUCUACUUCCUUUGCUUGCUUACUUCGUGCUGCCAUUGCAGGCUCCCCAUCCAAAAAUGUAGCCCUCUUUAGGCCAGCAACUCCAGAGACUGUUGAAUUCAGGCACAGUUUGUAUGAGCUAUAGCGCCUCAUCCCUGUAUUAGAGUAAAUACGCACAAAAACACAAGGUACUUUUCUGUCCUCUUAAAAUUAAUAAUGGCUUCAUUUGUAAGACAUUUGAAGUUAUAAACGUUCUGGAAUAAAGUUGUCAGAAAAUC
RNAcentral lists this long non-coding RNA (2868 nucleotides) under Homo sapiens (human). RNAcentral's name for it is "non-protein coding lnc-C1orf21-7:1". Lineage: Eukaryota; Metazoa; Chordata; Mammalia; Primates; Hominidae. The record is from RNAcentral.